ACAGAGGUGGCGAGCGUUGUUCGGAAUUACUGGGCUUAAAGGGCGAGUAGGCGGUAGGGCAAGUCCGAGGUGGAAUCCUAUGGCUUAACCAUAGAAUUGCCUUGGAAACUGCUUUACUUGAGUCAGUGAGGGGAGGGCGGAAUUCCUGGUGUAGCGGUGAAAUGCGUAGAUAUCAGGAGGAAGGCCAGUGGCGAAGGCGGCCCUCUGGCACUGCACUGACGCUGAGGCGCGAAAGCGUGGGGAGCAAACAGG
This 252-nucleotide ribosomal RNA is filed under the name uncultured bacterium. RNAcentral describes it as "partial 16S ribosomal RNA". It matches the Rfam family "Bacterial small subunit ribosomal RNA", at positions 525 to 776 of the family's 1533-position model. The record is from RNAcentral.